Molecule: ribosomal RNA, 535 nt
Filed under: uncultured archaeon
Lineage: Archaea
Description: bacterial SSU rRNA
Rfam family: Archaeal small subunit ribosomal RNA
Source: RNAcentral
CGCCGCGGUAACACCGGCGGCCCGAGUGGUGAUCGUGAUUAUUGGGUCUAAAGGGUCCGUAGCCGGUUGGUCAGUCCUCCGGGAAAUCUGAUAGCUCAACUAUUAGGCUUUCGGGGGAUACUGCCAGACUUGGAACCGGGAGAGGUAAGAGGUACUACAGGGGUAGGAGUGAAAUCUUGUAAUCCCUGUGGGACCACCUGUGGCGAAGGCGUCUUACCAGAACGGGUUCGACGGUGAGGGACGAAAGCUGGGGGCACGAACCGGAUUAGAUACCCGGGUAGUCCCAGCCGUAAACGAUGCUCGCUAGGUGUCAGGCAUGGCGCGACCGUGUCUGGUGCCGCAGGGAAGCCGUGAAGCGAGCCACCUGGGAAGUACGGCCGCAAGGCUGAAACUUAAAGGAAUUGGCGGGGGAGCACAACAACGGGGUGGAGCCUGCGGUUUAAUUGGACUCAACGCCGGACAACUCACCGGGGGCGACAGCAAUAUGUAGGCCAAGCUGAAGACUUUGCCUGAAUCGCUGAGGGGUGGUGCAUGG